CAACAACAAAAAUUCAGCGGAUCCAGGAGGCCAUGGUCCAGAUCAAUGCAGAUUCUUCGGUGAGGUGAAUCGAUAAAGACAAGCAAAGAUUCCACUGAGAAAAGAAGAAAAAGAUCAGAAAAUGCAUUCUGCCAGUAUUUAUAAGCAACGAGAAGGUGUAUCCUGUCAAGCAAUAAUUCUCCUAAAGAUGACAAACGUCGCAAUUGACGCCCUUCUCGACCGCAUCAACACAAUACACUUAAAGAUAAU
Poecilia reticulata (guppy) is the source of this 249-nucleotide non-coding RNA. Lineage: Eukaryota; Metazoa; Chordata; Actinopteri; Cyprinodontiformes; Poeciliidae. The record is from RefSeq and is a predicted model, not a curated record.